AAAAAAAAAACGUUUGGAAUUCGAGGACGAAGUUCGAAGAUCGCAUCUGAUGAAAUUGACGUACAUAAAAAGCACAGUUUAUAAGCAUUAUUUAGAUGCUCUUCUAUCUUCUUAGGAUCACUUACCACUUAGCAUAGCAUAGAUAUUUUUCGCGUCUCACAUCUCUCAUCAGCUGCUGGCCAAUGUUUCGUAUAUUUUGACUCAGGCAGAGAGAAGAUGAUUGUCCCCUUUUUUGUUAUUACAUGGUUGGGGCCAAACUUUCAUCGCGACCUUUCUAAUCUCUUCUGAUCGGCACUCACAAAUCGCGUGGAUUGCGCGUUAACCGACAUCCCUAUAGUUCGCACGCCCACUUCGACAUACAGCCUCAUUUGAGUGCCAUUCUUGGCCAUCUAGGGGGCCAUUGGGUUGAGAUAUAACACGAUGUUAAACUCAUUAUCGCUUUCUUCUCAAUAAAAGCGAUGAGAUAUUUUCCUUGGCAAUGGGAUGUUUCUCCUGCACAGGUUCGUCGAUUGUCUCCUGCAGAAACGUCAUCGCCACGUAUAAGCGUACUACGAAGAUCUAAAGCUCGAAUCUGCGCUACCCUGAAGUUCGAAUUCCGAGCCAACAUCGUGUCGCUCGUCAUCUUGUAGUAUGAGUUCCAUUUGCGGCUUUACACUUUUACCGCAAGGCACUGUUUCAUGGAUAUGCCUGAACGUUGCUCUGGAAAGAUUCGUCUAUUCCACGUCGUCCUGGAGGACAGCUAUCAGCUCAGCACCUAGCAUCUUGUAACAAACCUUCGCCAUUUUUGAUGGACUCUUCUACACCAACACCGCACGUUAAAACUUUUAUACUACAGUAGAACAUCGUUUGAUGUUCUAUUGACAUACACACUAUCAGCUAUUAUACACUCAUUGUAACACACUUCACAAAUCCAUAUCACACCAUUGCAAUCUACUUAGCAAGAGUUCAGGCCAUACCGUUCACAUAAAAACAAUUGUAUUACACUUCACGAAAACAAUCGACACGUUAAACAUACGCAAAGCAAGCGCUACAGCAGCCCAUUAGGUGAAUCGGGAGCACAUAGUCCACAAGUAUUUAAUACUAAUUUUAAUUUAAUACUAAAUUUAUUUUUUAUACUUUUUGUGUUCUUUAGUACUAUUACUUAU
Molecule: long non-coding RNA, 1145 nt
Organism: Anopheles coluzzii
Lineage: Eukaryota; Metazoa; Arthropoda; Insecta; Diptera; Culicidae
Exons: 3
Source: RefSeq, a predicted model, not a curated record